GAUGAACGCUGGCGGCGUGCCUAAUACAUGCAAGUCGAGCGAACAGAUGAGGAGCUUGCUCCUCUGACGUUAGCGGCGGACGGGUGAGUAACACGUGGAUAACCUACCUAUAAGACUGGGAUAACUUCGGGAAACCGGAGCUAAUACCGGAUAAUAUAUUGAACCGCAUGGUUCAAUAGUGAAAGACGGUUUUGCUGUCACUUAUAGAUGGAUCCGCGCCGCAUUAGCUAGUUGGUAAGGUAACGGCUUACCAAGGCAACGAUGCGUAGCCGACCUGAGAGGGGAACGGGCCACCCUGGACUUGAGAACGGGUCCAGCUCCCAACGGGAGGCAGCGGUAGGAAUCUUCCGCAAUGGGCGAAAGCCUGACGGAGCAACGCCGCGUGAGUGAUGAAGGUCUUCGGAUCGUAAAACUCUGUUAUUAGGGAAGAACAAAUGUGUAAGUAACUAUGCACGUCUUGACGGUACCUAAUCAGAAAGCCACGGCUAACUACGUG
Molecule: ribosomal RNA, 496 nt
Filed under: uncultured bacterium
Lineage: Bacteria
Description: partial 16S ribosomal RNA
Rfam family: Bacterial small subunit ribosomal RNA
Source: RNAcentral